This 1421-nucleotide ribosomal RNA is filed under the name Staphylococcus sp. LP1MJ. RNAcentral describes it as "bacterial SSU rRNA". It matches the Rfam family "Bacterial small subunit ribosomal RNA". The record is from RNAcentral. Lineage: Bacteria; Bacillati; Bacillota; Bacilli; Caryophanales; Staphylococcaceae.
UGCAAGUCGAGCGAACAGAUGAGAAGCUUGCUUCUCUGAUGUUAGCGGCGGACGGGUGAGUAACACGUGGGUAACCUACCUAUAAGACUGGGAUAACUCCGGGAAACCGGGGCUAAUACCGGAUAAUAUUUUGAACCGCAUGGUUCAAUAGUGAAAGACGGUUUCGGCUGUCACUUAUAGAUGGACCCGCGCCGUAUUAGCUAGUUGGUAAGGUAACGGCUUACCAAGGCGACGAUACGUAGCCGACCUGAGAGGGUGAUCGGCCACACUGGAACUGAGACACGGUCCAGACUCCUACGGGAGGCAGCAGUAGGGAAUCUUCCGCAAUGGGCGAAAGCCUGACGGAGCAACGCCGCGUGAGUGAUGAAGGUCUUCGGAUCGUAAAACUCUGUUGUUAGGGAAGAACAAAUUUGUUAGUAACUGAACAAGUCUUGACGGUACCUAACCAGAAAGCCACGGCUAACUACGUGCCAGCAGCCGCGGUAAUACGUAGGUGGCAAGCGUUAUCCGGAAUUAUUGGGCGUAAAGCGCGCGUAGGCGGUUUCUUAAGUCUGAUGUGAAAGCCCACGGCUCAACCGUGGAGGGUCAUUGGAAACUGGGAAACUUGAGUGCAGAAGAGGAGAGUGGAAUUCCAUGUGUAGCGGUGAAAUGCGCAGAGAUAUGGAGGAACACCAGUGGCGAAGGCGGCUCUCUGGUCUGUAACUGACGCUGAUGUGCGAAAGCGUGGGGAUCAAACAGGAUUAGAUACCCUGGUAGUCCACGCCGUAAACGAUGAGUGCUAAGUGUUAGGGGGUUUCCGCCCCUUAGUGCUGCAGCUAACGCAUUAAGCACUCCGCCUGGGGAGUACGACCGCAAGGUUGAAACUCAAAGGAAUUGACGGGGACCCGCACAAGCGGUGGAGCAUGUGGUUUAAUUCGAAGCAACGCGAAGAACCUUACCAAAUCUUGACAUCCUUUGACCGCUCUAGAGAUAGAGUCUUCCCCUUCGGGGGACAAAGUGACAGGUGGUGCAUGGUUGUCGUCAGCUCGUGUCGUGAGAUGUUGGGUUAAGUCCCGCAACGAGCGCAACCCUUAAGCUUAGUUGCCAUCAUUAAGUUGGGCACUCUAGGUUGACUGCCGGUGACAAACCGGAGGAAGGUGGGGAUGACGUCAAAUCAUCAUGCCCCUUAUGAUUUGGGCUACACACGUGCUACAAUGGAUAAUACAAAGGGCAGCGAAUCCGCGAGGCCAAGCAAAUCCCAUAAAAUUAUUCUCAGUUCGGAUUGUAGUCUGCAACUCGACUACAUGAAGCUGGAAUCGCUAGUAAUCGUAGAUCAGCAUGCUACGGUGAAUACGUUCCCGGGUCUUGUACACACCGCCCGUCACACCACGAGAGUUUGUAACACCCGAAGCCGGUGGAGUAACCUUUUAGGAGCUAGCCGU